Puccinia sorghi is the source of this 90-nucleotide non-coding RNA. The record is from the annotation of a GenBank genome assembly. Lineage: Eukaryota; Fungi; Basidiomycota; Pucciniomycetes; Pucciniales; Pucciniaceae.
GACUUGGUAGCCUAGUUGAUAAAGGAAGCUCUUCUAGUGUAGUGUCUUAGCUUCUGGCUAAGUUUUCUGGUUCAAAUUCUGCCCAAGUUG